RNAcentral lists this transfer RNA (66 nucleotides) under Seepiophila jonesi. Its description in RNAcentral is "tRNA-Phe". It matches the Rfam family "tRNA". From Rfam's summary of the family: Transfer RNA (tRNA) molecules are approximately 80 nucleotides in length. Lineage: Eukaryota; Metazoa; Annelida; Polychaeta; Sabellida; Siboglinidae. The record is from RNAcentral.
GCCUUGGUAGCUUAAAUUUAAAGCAAAGCAUUGAAGCUGCUUAAAUGAAUAUUAUAUCCCAAAGCA